Molecule: long non-coding RNA, 283 nt
Organism: Rhinichthys klamathensis goyatoka
Lineage: Eukaryota; Metazoa; Chordata; Actinopteri; Cypriniformes; Leuciscidae
Exons: 2
Source: RefSeq, a predicted model, not a curated record
CAAAAAAUAUUCCUGUCAGUCACCAGUUACAAUUAAAACAGAUUGUUCCAGUGAAGAAUCUCAAGCCAGCUGUGAUUAAAGUGUAUGAUUAUUACCAAACAAGUGAUCUGUCAGAGACUGAGUAUUCAUCCCACUGUGAGUGAAGUGUCAUGCCUCAGUUCUGCAGCUCGGAUAAAUAGAUUUGAAUGCUGACUAAAUGUUUUUAUUCAGUGUUUAUUCCUUUUUCUGGGCAAAUUAGUUUCCUGAUUAGCCUUUGUUUUAUUAAACCCAAACAACCUGAAAA